Non-coding RNA from Schistosoma haematobium, 78 nucleotides. The record is from Rfam. Lineage: Eukaryota; Metazoa; Platyhelminthes; Trematoda; Strigeidida; Schistosomatidae.
AGGUUUCCGAAUCCGUGCUGAGAUUUCGUCAGAAACCAACUCAUUGGGGCUGAUUAGACUUGCAAGAUAAGUGAAGUU